CCCCACGCCCCGCGGGCCCGCGUGCUCGUGCCCCGCGCCGCUGCACCUGCAGCCCGACGGGUUCUCGUGCGCGCCCCACCACCCCUGCGCAGGCUGGGGGGUGUGCAGUCAGACGUGUCAGCCCCACAAGGACCGCUACAGAUGUACCUGCUACGAGGGCUACCGGCUCGCUGACGACGGCUUCACCUGCAAGAGCACAGACCCGGCGCGGCCGCUGCUGGUGUUCAGCAACCGGCACGAGCUGCGCGGCGUGGAGCUGCCGUCGCUGUCGUCGCGCGCGCUGGUGUCGUCGCUCAAGAACACCGUGGCGCUGGACUGGUGCGGCUCGCGCGGAGUGGUGCAGCUGUACUGGACCGACGUGCUGGACGACAACAUCUACCGCGGCACGCUCACGGGCGACGUGGUGACCGGUAUAGAAGUAGUGGUCCAGCAGGGUCUGUCCACGGCCGAGGGCUUGGCCGUCGACUGGGUCGGCGAAAACCUGUACUGGGUGGAGAGCAGUCUGCACCAGAUCGAGGUAGCGCGCCUAGACGGUAAAUACCGCCGAACGCUCAUCGCCGGCGACAUGGACAGCCCGAGAGCCAUAGCCGUCGACCCUAGCGUCGGCUACCUGUUCUGGACGGACUGGGAGGCGGCGGCGCCGCGCAUCGAGCGCGCGUCGCUGGCGGGGCG
RNAcentral lists this unclassified non-coding RNA (672 nucleotides) under Melitaea cinxia (Glanville fritillary). Its description in RNAcentral is "misc RNA ENSMCXG00005012421.1". Lineage: Eukaryota; Metazoa; Arthropoda; Insecta; Lepidoptera; Nymphalidae. The record is from RNAcentral.